AGAGGGUGUCGGAUGCCCUGAUGCCCUUGAGCUGGAGCUACACGUGGUUGUGAGCUGCCUGGUGUGUGUGAGGAGAAUCACACUCGCGACCUCUGCAAAAGCAGUCUGCAUUCAGCCCCAGAGCUGUCCCUCUGGCCCCCGGAGGAUGUGGAGGAUGAGAAGAGCUCUUCUCUAUCCAAGAGGAGACAAGGAAUCAGAAUGGGAUUGAGGGCCAUGCUGCGCCAGAGACUCAAGGUGGGGGUAUUUGUGAAACCUCUGCACCCGAGGCAUGGAGGAGGAAGCUUCCUGUGUGGUGACCCAGGGACAGGGCAGGAAGCACUUUGAGCCCAGCCAGGAGAGGAACCUGAGUUCAUCCUGUCUGUAUCUCUGGUCUGUUGCUAUGGCACCUGGAACGAGCAGCAUGGGAAAUACAUCAGGAACCAUGAGAGGGUAUCGUGCAAGCACAGCCCCCACCACACAGGUCAUGCAGUUGCAUUUCUGUGUUUGAGAAAACGACAGGGAUCAGCUAUCUGGAGUUCAGUGGACGAACCUCACCGAGGGAAAACCACUUUUGUGCUCCUGGUAUCACUGCCUUGCCAGGUGACACUGCUCUCAAGCAGGCCAGACAGGCACAGCCAGACCCGGGGCGGUAAGCUCUUACCGUCUCUUUCUUCUCCUGGCCUCCCCUUCGAGAUCACACCAGCCCACACCGUCCCUGCUUUCUGAUCGAGGUUCAGACAAUAUCCUUCCAUGUGACUCCUUGCUUUGCCCCUUGGGCUUAAAUCUAAAGCCUCCUUCCCAGCCUCUCUGAGCACUGGGCGGAAUACCUUCAGGAUUGACUUUCCUCCACAUCGCUCACCACCACCGCUGACAGAUUAUUCCACCCGCUUGUUUUGUCCAUUUGUUUGAGGUUGUCCGCUAAAAUAUAUGCCCCAUGAGAAAAUGACCUUUCGUCUUUCUUAUUUAUGGCUGCUCUGGCUGGGACCUUGAGUGCCUAGAACGUGGUUGCUCAAUGAGUUUUGGGUGAAUGAACAUACCCUGCAUUCUGAGAAAUCACUCAGGAGUCUGUUGGUUGGGAGCAGCCAUGGCCAAGGUGGUUCUCAGACUCUUUGAAGUCUCCUAUGUACACACCAACAUGGACCUUCGAGAAGGCCUGCACUUUGUGAAAAGGAACCCUCUAGAACAGUGGUGGCAAAGACUCCUGAGGAACUCUAGCAUGCAUUCGGAGCAUUCAGCUUAGCCCACUGAAACAAUACAUAGCACAUCGGAGAGAAAAAAGCGCCAUGAUGAUUCAAGAUGAUGUUUUACAGAGUCUGGGUUCUAUCUAUGGAUUUUGUUCUGGAAGCCUCUGGGGACCCCAGGAAGACAAAACCAGAUGAAAGUGAAUCUGCUCUGUCUGUCUGUGUUCUUCCCAGAGUCAACCGUCUUUCUCUCUGUUCCCGAAGGGAGGAAAUAUGUCUGUGAUUGGCAUUUCCUUCAGGAUCUGGAACUUGUCCUAUCACCACUAGGGUCAAAGCCUUCUGCUGUCUGUUACCCCCAGACCUGAGGGAAUUCCGUGUGGCCUUGCUGAGUGAGUCACAGCUCCACUUGGCAUGACUUGGACCUUAUUUAACCCAGGACGCCGAAGGAUUUCUCCGUGAAUUAUUAAGGAAUGUGCCAAGAGAGCAGAGACAGUCAUUCUGAGAUCUGAGCUGGUUUCUGCAGAAUCAACUGGAAGCAGCAAACGGGGGUAACAAGUAGGGUCUGUGUGUGAAGCUGGGGAGCCCACAGUCGAGAACAAGGCUUUACUUCUGUUUUCACUGAACAGGUCAAUAGAGGACUGGGGAAACCACUCAGUGACAGAGCACUUGCCUGGCAUGGUUCCUGAUUCAAUUCUCAAUAACCUUUCGUCACCUCCCCCCCCAAAAAAGCCAACAGAAAAAUCACCACUUGUGAUUAAAGACAAUUAGGGUUGAUUUAGUUUCUGAGUUUGUUGGGUCUGUUAGGGUGUCCAGGCAGUUUAAUGCUAGUUAUAAGUACUCUGUUUACUCUGGAGGCUUACCACUGUAUCAACCACACACAGGAUACUCUGCUAGAGAGCCAAUCCUUUCCUGGAUAUAGGCAUGAUUUUGGAUCUUGCGAUUUCAUAAAUCCACAAACAAUCACCAUUACCUUAACCAAAGCUUUGGAAGGUGUGUUUGGUCUUCAAGGGUUCACAUGAAAACAAAACAAAACAAAACAAAACAAAACAAAACAAAAAACUUCCACCAAUCACCAGGAAUGCAGAUUUAAAAAAUCACAUGUAAUAUUCAUUUUAACAUCAGUGUCUCUAAGUGACAGCAGUGUGACUUGUUGCAAGGAAAGCCAGAUUAAAGAGAGCAGGGACGUCUGUUCAGUGAAGGUAAUUGGUUCUCUGAUUCCCCUAAGGACUGUGAAAUGGGGUGAGAGGGUGGCACCCUCUCAUCUUUCCUCUGACCCAGCACCCUUCAGAAUGGUCCCUUGCCUUGUUCACUCAGGUCAUCCCCCAACUUCCAAGCCCAGUAUCCAAUUCCCAGCAUGAGCAACGUUUGCAGGGCUGAUGGUGCCCAUCCACAUGAACAUCUUCUUCGGGCAGCCUGACGCACAGGUGCCAGCUCUCCUCUGAUCCUUUCUUUACCUCCUUGCUGUUUAGCCCACUCUCCUUGUGGUCUCCCACUCCCUCUUCAAGAGCUGCUCUCUGGAAGGCUGGACCAACCGGCCCCUUAGCUAAGACCCCAUCCCUUUUUAAGCAAUGACUGCCAAGAUAAGUGUAAGCAGGGUCAGGUUUCGGAAAUGAACUACCUUCCAAGAACUUUUUCUCUUCCUAUCUCAGCGUGGACUGUCGUCUGCACCCAGACAACUUUGCUUGACAUGUCUACUUUGGUGCUGGAAACAUAUUCCUACUUAACAUGUCCCCAAACCUGCUCUGAUUUCUAUACUCAUCCUGGUAGUUUCUGGAUCUUGAUUCACAGUUAUUCCCCUUUGUUGGUUAUCCCAAACUGCAAAGCUUAGGAUUGCCCUUUAUUCUGUCACAUCUGGAGCAUCAGCAUAUCUCACUGAGACUAUGUUGCUAGAGUCGGAAUGCUGCCCGCCCCUUCCCUGCUCAACUCCUCCUCUAGGCCACAGCUGACCGUACAACUGGUCAUUCAGUUUUAGCCUAAGUCCCUCUGCAUUACUGUCUCAGAGCAGCACUUGGGAUGACACUUUUUAGGUUGAACUGUCUGUGGCUUUCUACAUCACUCAAAAUAAAAGCCAGGACUUGUAUGCUCCAAAGACGCUGUGUGGCCCAUGUGGCUUUAGUCAACUCUUUCUUUUGCCUUCCUACAUCUACUAUGCAUGGUUAUAAAUAAAAAUGGGUAGCAAUACAACCCCCCAACAAGUCUUCCCAUCACCCCACUUCCUAUUGCUUGUGUCUCUCUUGAGUUCCAGCUAUUGGUUGUUACCGAUGAUGUGAUGUUGUUUGCGUUUAUUUGCUUGUUAUCUGUCUGUCCUUUUAUACCAGCAAAUCUCAACCUGUGGGUCGCAACCCCUUUGGGGGCCAAACGACUCUUUCACAGGGCCACCUAAGACCACUGAAAAACACAGAUACUUACAUUAUGAUUCAUAACAGCAGCAAAAUUGCAGUUAUGAAACAGCAAUGAAAAUAAUGUUAUGGUUGGGUCACCACAACAUGAGGAACUGUAUUAAAGGGUCCAGCAUUAGGAAGGUUGGGAACCACUGCUCUACAAUGAAAUACACACUUCAAGAGCCAAAGAACGCUAUCAGCUGCUGUCCCUACUAUGUUUCUGUUACCUAGAGCACCUGGCCAGAUCAGUGCGACUGAAUAAGUGAUUGCCUCACUAGGCAGCGGUUAAUGUUAGAUAGGCUGUAUAUGAAGAAAAUUGUGACUUCAGAGGGCCAGAUGCGUCUUAUAUGAGGACUAGCUCAAGGGUUGGGGAGGUCGCUUAAUAGAAACACAUGCUUGCCAUCCAACUGCAAGAGAGUCCACAUAAAGCCAGGGACUGUAGUGUCCACCUCUAAUUCCAGAACUCCAACAGGGGAGGGUCAGAGACAGGUGAAUCCUUGGGAGCUCAGAGCCUUGUAGCUUGGUGAACAUAGCGGUGAAGAUGAGACCUUACCUCAGUCAAGGGAGCAGACAAGGACUGUCACACACAGCUGUCCUCUCCAUCUCUCCAUCCAGGUACCAUGGUUACCAUAUGCUCAUAAUCACACAGUGGUCCCUCUCCAACCGCUCUAUACACACACACGCACACGCAUAUGCACGCACACACAUGUGUAUGCAUGCACACAUGCUCGUGUGUGUAUGUGUGUGUGUAUGAGAGAAAGAGAGGGAAUUUCUCCCCUCCCUCCCUCCC
Arvicola amphibius (Eurasian water vole) is the source of this 4331-nucleotide long non-coding RNA. RefSeq lists it as uncharacterized. The transcript is spliced from 5 exons. NCBI's taxonomy places the organism in Eukaryota, Metazoa, Chordata, Mammalia, Rodentia, Cricetidae. The record is from RefSeq and is a predicted model, not a curated record.